GUUGAUCCUGCCAGAGGUUACUGCUAUUGGUGUUCGACUAAGCCAUGCAAGUCAUAUGUUCCUCGUGAACAUGGCAUACUGCUCAGUAACACGUGGAUAACCUGCCCUUGGGUCUGGGAUAACCCCGGGAAACUGGGGAUAAUACCGGAUAACGCAUAUGUGCUGGAAUGCUUUAUGCGUAAAAUGGAUUCGUCCGCCCAAGGAUGGGUCUGCGGCCUAUCAGGUAGUAGUGGGUGUAAUGUACCUACUAGCCAACAACGGGUACGGGUUGUGAGAGCAAGAGCCCGGAGAUGGAUUCUGAGACAUGAAUCCAGGCCCUACGGGGCGCAGCAGGCGCGAAAACUUUACAAUGCGGGAAACCGUGAUAAGGGAACACCGAGUGCCAGCAUCAUAUGCUGGCUGUCCAGAUGUGUAAACUACAUCUGUUAGCAAGGGCCGGGCAAGACCGGUGCCAGCCGCCGCGGUAACACCGGCGGCCCGAGUGGUGACCGUUAUUAUUGGGUCUAAAGGGUCCGUAGCCGGUUUGGUCAGUCCUCCGGGAAAUCUGAUAGCUUAACUGUUAGGCUUUCGGGGGAUACUGCCAGGCUUGGAACCGGGAGAGGUAAGAGGUACUACAGGGGGUAGGAGUGAAAUCUUGUAAUCCCUGUGAGACCACCUGUGGCAAAGGCGUCUUACCAGAACGGGUUCGACGGUGAGGGACGAAAGCUGGGGGCACGAACCGGAUUAGAUACCCGGGUAGUCCCAGCCGUAAACUAUGCUCGCUAGGUGUCAGGCAUGGCGCGACCGUGUCUGGUGCCGCAGGGAAGCCGUGAAGCGAGCCACCUGGGAAGUACGGCCGCAAGGCUGAAACUUAAAGGAAUUGGCGGGGGAGCACAACAACGGGUGGAGCCUGCGGUUUAAUUGGACUCAACGCCGGACAACUCACCGGGGACGACAGCAAUAUGUAGGCCAGGCUGAAGACCUUGCCUGAAUCGCUGAGAGGAGGUGCAUGGCCGUCGCCAGUUCGUACUGUGAAGCAUCCUGUUAAGUCAGGUAACGAGCGAGACCC
Molecule: ribosomal RNA, 1048 nt
Filed under: unidentified archaeon
Lineage: Archaea
Description: bacterial SSU rRNA
Rfam family: Archaeal small subunit ribosomal RNA
Source: RNAcentral